AACGAACGCUGGCGGCAUGCCUAACACAUGCAAGUCGAACGAGGCCUUUGGGUCUAGUGGCGCACGGGUGCGUAACGCGUGGGAACCUGCCCUUAGGUUCGGAAUAACUCCCCGAAAGGGGUGCUAAUACCGGAUAAUGUCUUCGGACCAAAGAUUUAUCGCCUUUGGAUGGGCCCGCGUUGGAUUAGCUAGUUGGUAGGGUAAAAGCCUACCAAGGCGACGAUCCAUAGCUGGUCUGAGAGGAUGAUCAGCCACACUGGGACUGAGACACGGCCCAGACUCCUACGGGAGGCAGCAGUGGGGAAUAUUGGACAAUGGGCGAAAGCCUGAUCCAGCAAUGCCGCGUGAGUGAUGAAGGCCUUAGGGUUGUAAAGCUCUUUUACCCGGGAUGAUAAUGACAGUACCGGGAGAAUAAGCUCCGGCUAACUCCGU
This 432-nucleotide ribosomal RNA is filed under the name uncultured bacterium. RNAcentral describes it as "partial 16S ribosomal RNA". It matches the Rfam family "Bacterial small subunit ribosomal RNA", at positions 29 to 506 of the family's 1533-position model. The record is from RNAcentral.